Molecule: long non-coding RNA, 379 nt
Filed under: Vitis vinifera (wine grape)
Lineage: Eukaryota; Viridiplantae; Streptophyta; Magnoliopsida; Vitales; Vitaceae
Description: long non-coding RNA (VVIN_LNC002247)
Source: RNAcentral
UUGGAGGUGUACUACAAAUGACACAACUUCAAUCUCAUUGAGGUCAUGGAAUUUGUGUAAACAAAACUGUACUCUUUUUAGGUUAGAAGAUAUUGAUUGAAUGCUAAUGAGCACUAUGGACCGAUUUUCUUCUGAUUGAAUGCUAAUGAGCACUAUGGACCGAUUUUCUUACUUCUUAUGACGAUACUUGUCUUAGUUGUAAGGUUUACCCCUUAUUUCUUUGAACCAAGACUGAUUUAUUUUUGUUAUCCAUAAUCUUCCUCUUGUGCAUGUUUCUCUCUUUGCUGGUCCUCCUUACAAAUGUCAUGAUAAAGUCAUUAUGUCCAAUUCUUUGCAGCCCUUUGUUCACCUUAUCCAUUCUUCCCUUUUUGUAGCUGAC